Molecule: ribosomal RNA, 301 nt
Filed under: uncultured bacterium
Lineage: Bacteria
Description: partial 16S ribosomal RNA
Rfam family: Bacterial small subunit ribosomal RNA
Source: RNAcentral
CAGCCGCCACGGUAAUACAGAGGGUGCGAGCGUUAAUCGGAUUUACUGGGCGUAAAGCGUGCUUAGGCGGCUUUUUAAGUCGGAUGUGAAAUCCCUGAGCUUAACUUAGGAAUUGCAUUCGAUACUGGGAAUCUAGAGUAUGGGAGAGGAUGGUAGAAUUCCAGGUGUAGCGGUGAAAUGCGUAGAGAUCUGGAGGAAUACCGAUGGCGAAGGCAGCCAUCUGGCCUAAUACUGACGCUGAGGUACGAAAGCAUGGGGAGCAAACAGGAUUAGAUACCCCUGUAGUCCCUGUCUCUUAUAC